UGUCUUGUGUUCUGUAUAGUGGGGUAGAGUGUCUCUGGGACUGUGUCUUGUGUUCUGUAUAGUGGGGUAGAGUGUCUCUGGGACUGUAUCUUGUGUUCUGUAUAGUGGGGUAGAGUGUCUCUAGGACUGUGUCUUGUGUUCUGUAUAGUGGGGUAGAGUGUCUCUGGGACUGUGUCUUGUGUUCUGUAUAGUGGGGUAGAGUGUCU
Non-coding RNA from Pelobates cultripes (western spadefoot toad), 206 nucleotides. The record is from the annotation of a GenBank genome assembly. Lineage: Eukaryota; Metazoa; Chordata; Amphibia; Anura; Pelobatidae.